AUGAAGUCCUUGUCUCUGUAAUGAAGCCACAUCCACUUUGUUUUCAGAAUUCAUUUUUCAGGAAAUUGAAAAACUCGUCGCGCAUUGAAAUUUUAAUUUAACAUACCUUAAUGUUUUGUGGAUCUGUUAAAUUAAUACAUAAUGGUUCAAAAAGUGUUAUGACAUCAAUUCAAUUAUAUAAAUAUUUAUUACGUCAAUGUGAAAAGUUACCGCCUGACGCUUGUAAACAUUAUAAAUUUGCUGUCAGACAGAGCUAUAAACAGCACAAGUUUGAACCAGACCCAGAGCGAGUAAAAGAGAUAAUCAGUAAAAGUGUAGAAGAUGCAAAGUGGAUUGUGAAUAAGUAUACAAAAAAAUAAUGGAUAUGAUUACGGGCAAUAUCAACACAAAGCAUUAUAAAUAUAAUUUUAUUCAUGAUAAACGAAUACUGUAGUAAGAAUGAGUAUGUUUGGAGAAAAGAUAGAAGAAUAUGAAAUAUUGGAACAUCUAGGUAAAGGAGGAUUCGCAAAUGUAUAUAGAGCAAGAUGUCGACGAACAGGAUUGUUUGUGGCCAUCAAAAUGAUAGACAAAGCUCUGAUGGCAAGUGCAGGUAUGAUUGGGAGAGUACGACAAGAAGUCACCAUUCAUUCUCGCUUGAAACAUCCUGCAAUUUUAGAGCUAUUUACAUUUUUUGAAGAUGCACAUUAUGUCUAUUUAGUUUUAGAACUAGCACACAAUGGUGAAUUGGCAAAGCAUUUUAAAUUAGGAACUCGAGGCCUAUCUGAAAAGGCUGCAGCUGAUAUAUUUCGACAAGUCGUAAGUGGUGUGUUAUAUCUUCAUACUCAUAACAUAAUACACAGAGAUUUGUCUCUAAACAAUCUACUGCUUACCAAAGAUCUUAAUGUCAAAAUUGCUGAUUUUGGUUUAGCCACUCAGCUAAAUGGCCCAGAUGAGAAACAUGUCACUAUGUGUGGAACUCCAAAUUAUAUAUCUCCAGAAGUAGCAUCAAGAGAGUUACAUGGAUUACCUGCAGAUGUCUGGGGAUUGGGCUGCAUGUUAUAUACACUUUUAGUAGGAAGACCACCAUUCCAUACUCAGCAUGUUAAAACUACUCUAAAUAAAGUCAUCAAUGCAGACUAUAAAAUACCUCCAGAGCUAUCACUGCCAGCUCAAGAUUUAUUACUAAAACUCUUGUGCAAAGAUCCUAUUAAAAGAAUCACACUUAAGGAAAUAAUGGAACAUCCAUUUAUAACAAGUUUGUGCUCAAAUAAUUCAAAUGUAACAAAGCAAGAUAUUUCUAGAGAUUCAGGGUUUCUCACCACUCUACAUAGCACUCAGCACAGUGGCAAGAUAAGGCAUGAAGACAGAACUUCAUCAGAUUAUCAAUGCUCAAGUGGAAAUGUUGAAGAUUUAAAGCACAAAGGCUCAAAACUAUCUUAUAAUGUAUUUGCUGGAAUGCAAGAAAACUGUACACAGUCAUCUAAUUGUCAUAGUUAUGAUUAUAAAAUAUGUAUGAAUAGUGAAAAAGGGUCAGAAAUUAUUGAUUUCCAGGCCCAGUUACAACCCAGUAGUAGUAUACUACCCCAAAAAAAUGACAAUAGUUCUGCACAAAUGAUUGAUGAUAUAAAAAAAAUGAAUAUUAACUGUAUUACAACUGAAGGGAAAAGAAUGAUAAACUGUGGAGAAAAUAAAGAAAAUAUCCCUAAAAGUUGCAAUUCCACGUCAAAUGCAAUCGGUGUUCCACCAUUAUGUGCAGAAAGAUUGCCAGUUAUUUCACACAGAACUCGUAAUGCUAUAUUAAAGAUAGAACCUACUGCAGUUAUUGUGGAAUUUAUAAAAAAGAAAGGGAAAGACAGAGAAGAGAAGGUUGUUGAGAUAUGCAAAAUUACAAAAGAUGGAAUGAAAAUAAUAAUCUACUCAGUUGAUAACAUUAAAGAAAAAUGUAUAACACCCUUUGCAGAACAUAACCCAAGCCCUGAUGAAGUUUUUUCCUAUCAUAAUCUGCCACAGAAACAUUGGAAAAAGUAUUUAUAUGCAUCUCGAUUUGUAGAACUUGUAAAAGCUAAAACCCCUAAAAUAACUUUAUACUCUUCACUAGCCAAGUGCCAACUUAUGGAAAAUAAUGUGGAUAUGGAAAUAUUUUUUUACAAUGGAGAAAAGGUUGCAUUUGUGUCGACAGAAGGUCUGAAAGUAAUUGAUAAGAAUUUGAAAACUUAUCACAACCCAUAUAAUGUCCCAGAAUUAAAAUAUUUGCUAGAUCAUUAUGAAGAGUGUUCAAACCGCAUAAAGAGAAUACAAUCAGCUCUUUCAUGUAUAUCUGAUGAAUGUUUUCCUUUAAUAAUUGGUAAAAGGCCUGUGCAAACUUUGAGUAAUACUCAAGCUAGUUCUCCAUUACAAGGGUCAGUCAAUGCUAAUUAUAAUAGUCCUCUUUUUAAUGUUGGAUCUUUUCAUCGAACAGCUGCUAGUUCUAGCCAUGCACAUAGUGAUUUUAAUAAUAUGUUUUAAUUCACUCAAUGAUAACAUUCAAUUUGAAUGUAUAAAGUUGCUUUCAAUCAACAAGAUUUUAAAAUCACAUAAUCACUGAAGAUGGGACACAUCCUUUAAUGAUCCAGUGUCCAGCUAAAAUUGUAAAUCCAGUAGGAUACCAUAAAUACCAGGAUGCGUAUGUAUUGUACGAAAAAAAUAUUGUUGCGACUAAACAUUGUAUACCUUACCUACCCUAAAUAUUUGGACAGGCAUAGUUUUGUGUCAUAGCAUAGUAAAGAACAUUUUUCUUGUAUUAAUUAUUUUAUAAUUAGUUCAUACAGUUAAGUAUAAAUAUUUUAUGAUAAAUUGACUUGUAUCUAUUAACUGUAGAUAGAUAGUUAAAUAAAAGAAUAUUAUUUAAGAUCCCUGCCACCCAAUCAUAAUAAUUUAUUUGCGAGUUAUACAGGAUGUGUCGUAAAUAGUGGUCCAAAGCAAAGGGGUCGCGUCAAGUCG
Molecule: RNA transcript, 2958 nt
Organism: Ostrinia nubilalis (European corn borer)
Lineage: Eukaryota; Metazoa; Arthropoda; Insecta; Lepidoptera; Crambidae
Gene: SAK
Gene name: serine/threonine-protein kinase PLK4
Exons: 4
Source: RefSeq, a predicted model, not a curated record